RNAcentral lists this ribosomal RNA (526 nucleotides) under Argiolestes muller. RNAcentral's name for it is "partial 16S ribosomal RNA". It matches the Rfam family "Bacterial large subunit ribosomal RNA", at positions 1831 to 2619 of the family's 2925-position model. The record is from RNAcentral. Lineage: Eukaryota; Metazoa; Arthropoda; Insecta; Odonata; Argiolestidae.
GGCCUCUUGGUUGUAUUAGAGGUUUGGCCUGCCCGGUGAAGGAUUUUUAACGGCCGCGGUAUUUUGACCGUGCAAAGGUAGCAUAAUCAUUAGUUUUUUAAUAGGAGGCUGGAAUGAAGGGUUUAACGAAUUAAUAACUGUCUCUUUUAGAUUUAUUAGAAUUUAAUUUUUGAGUUAAAAAGCUUAAAUUUUAUUGGAAGACGAGAAGACCCUAUAGAGCUUUAUGAUUAAGGAUUUGAUUUAUUUUAUUAUUUUUAGUUAUAUUUUUAAUCAUUUUGUUGGGGUGACAAUAAAUAUAUAUUUAACUUUUAUAUUACUAUUACAUUAAUUUAUGAGUAUUAGAUCCUUUAUUAUUGAUCAUUAGAAUAAGCUACCUUAGGGAUAACAGCGUAAUCCUCUUUUGGAGUUCAAAUUUAUGAGAGGGCUUGCGACCUCGAUGUUGGAUUAAGAUUAUAAUUAGGUGCAGUAGCUUAAAAUAUGGGUCUGUUCGACCUUUAAAUUCUUACAUGAUCUGAGUUCAGACCGG